UGCAACAGUACCAAACCUCUGUCUAGAGGUCAAACAGCUGUCUGCGGGGCAAACAUCUGUCUACGGGUCAAACGGGGUAAACAUCUGUCUACGGGUCAAACGGCUGUCUACGGGUCAAACGGGGUAAACAUCUGUCUGCGGGUCAAACGUCUGUCUGCGGGUCAAACGGCUCUCUGCGGGUCAAACAGCUGUUUGCGGGUCAAACAGCUCUCUGCGGGUCAAACAGCUGUCUGUGGGUCAAACAGCUGUCUGCGGGUCAAACGGGGUAAACAUCUGUCUACGGGUCAAACGGCUGUCUGCGGGUCAAACGGCUGUCUGCGGGUCAAACGGCUAUCUGCGGGUCAAACGGCUCUCUGCGGGUCAAACAGCUGUCUGCGGGUCAAACAGCUCUCUGCGGGUCAAACAGCUGUCUGCGGGUCAAACAGCUGUCUGCUGGUCAAACAGUUGUCCACGUGUCAAACAGCUGUCUGCUGGUCAAACAGCUCUCUGCGGGUCAAACAGCUGUCUGCGGGUCAAACAUCUGUCUACGUGUCAAACAGUUGUCCACGUGUCAAACAUCUGUCUGCUGGUCAAACACCUGUCUGCGGGUCAAACAGCUGUCUGCUGGUCAAACAGUUGUCCAUGUGUCAAACAGCUGUCUGCUGGUCAAACAGCUCUCUGCGGGUCAAACAUCUGUCUGCUGGUCAAACAGCUGUCUGCGGGUCAAACAGCUGUCUGCUGGUCAAACAGUUGUCCACGUGUCAAACAGCUGUCUGCGGGUCAAACAGCUGUCUGCUGGUCAAACAGUUGUCCACGUGUCAAACAUCUGUCUGCUGGUCAAACAGCUGUCUGCGGGUCAAACAGCUGUCUGCUGGUCAAACAGUUGUCCACGUGUCAAACAGCUGUCUGCUGGUCAAACAGCUCUCUGCGGGUCAAACAUCUGUCUGCGUGUCAAACAGCUGGCCACGUGUCAAUCAUCUGUCUACGGGUCAAACAGCUGUCUGCAGGUCAAACAGCUGUCUGCGGGUCAAACAGCUGUCUGCGGGUCAAACAGCUGUCUGCGGGUCAAACAGCUGUCUGCGGGUCAAACAUCUGUCCACAGGUAAACAGCUGUUGUCUACAGGUCAAACGUAA
This 1113-nucleotide long non-coding RNA is filed under the name Scophthalmus maximus (turbot). RNAcentral describes it as "lncRNA (ENSSMAG00000030372.1)". The record is from RNAcentral. Lineage: Eukaryota; Metazoa; Chordata; Actinopteri; Pleuronectiformes; Scophthalmidae.